UACGUAGGGCGCAAGCGUUAUCCGGAAUUAUUGGGCGUAAAGAGCUCGUAGGCGGUUUGUCGCGUCUGCCGUGAAAGUCCGGGGCUCAACUCCGGAUCUGCGGUGGGUACGGGCAGACUAGAGUUCGGUAGGGGAGACUGGAAUUCCUGGUGUAGCGGUGAAAUGCGCAGAUAUCAGGAGGAACACCGAUGGCGAAGGCAGGUCUCUGGGCCGAUACUGACGCUGAGGAGCGAAAGCGUGGGGAGCGAACAGG
RNAcentral lists this ribosomal RNA (253 nucleotides) under uncultured bacterium. Its description in RNAcentral is "partial 16S ribosomal RNA". It matches the Rfam family "Bacterial small subunit ribosomal RNA", at positions 524 to 776 of the family's 1533-position model. The record is from RNAcentral.